AGAAAACACUAUGUUUAAGGUAGUCAGGAUGGGAAUGCAGACAGCUUACAGAAAGUACCAAGACCAGAAUAACACCGAGCAAGAAAAUCAUUGCCAGUUCAAAAUUCAGGCUGAGUUGCUCUUGAAUGCACAAUAGUGGGCCUGGGUACUAAGGGAGAAGCUGCAAGUUUUGUUUCUUCUGUUGUCCUGGAUGUAUGUCUAGAAGGAAUUGCGACUGAUUUUAGAGUGAGCCACAUAAUAGAUCCUUUGAGAGAAGCAGUGGAGGUGGUGUGGAAGGUCAUUGACUCAGUUUCUGUACAUGCCAAGAGGAUGCAGGCAAAUGGUGGUGUGAAUUCAUGCAAGUCAAAGACACCUGAUAACAAGACACAAGAGGGCAGCUUAAAAACAGGAGGAAGCAGCAAGAUUCUGACACUUCCUACAGAAAG
Long non-coding RNA from Serinus canaria (Common canary), 425 nucleotides. RefSeq lists it as uncharacterized. Lineage: Eukaryota; Metazoa; Chordata; Aves; Passeriformes; Fringillidae. The record is from RefSeq and is a predicted model, not a curated record. The transcript has 3 exons.